UGGCAAGCGUUGUCCGGAUUUACUGGGCGUAAAGCGUGCGCAGGCGGUCCGCUAAGACAGAUGUGAAAUCCCCGGGCUUAACCUGGGAACUGCAUUUGUGACUGGCGGGCUAGAGUAUGGCAGAGGGGGGUAGAAUUCCACGUGUAGCAGUGAAAUGCGUAGAGAUGUGGAGGAAUACCGAUGGCGAAGGCAGCCCCCUGGGCCAAUACUGACGCUCAUGCACGAAAGCGUGGGGAGCAAACA
This 243-nucleotide ribosomal RNA is filed under the name uncultured bacterium. RNAcentral's name for it is "partial 16S ribosomal RNA". It matches the Rfam family "Bacterial small subunit ribosomal RNA", at positions 532 to 774 of the family's 1533-position model. The record is from RNAcentral.